RNAcentral lists this long non-coding RNA (4244 nucleotides) under Pan troglodytes (chimpanzee). Its description in RNAcentral is "long non-coding RNA NONPTRT002697". Lineage: Eukaryota; Metazoa; Chordata; Mammalia; Primates; Hominidae. The record is from RNAcentral.
UGAGGCAGCCAGCGCAGGGGCUUCUGCUGAGGGCGCAGGCGGAGCUUGAGGAAACCGCAGAUAAGUUUUUUUCACUUUGAAAGAUAGAGAUUAAUACAACUACUUAAAAAAUAUAGUCAAUAGGUUACUAAGAUAUUGCUUAGCGUUAAGCUUUUAACGUAAUUUUAAUAGCUUAAGAUUUUAAGAGAAAAUAUGAAGACUUAGAAGAGUAGCAUGACGAAGGAAAAGAUAAAAGAUUUCUAAAACAUGACGGAGGUUGAGAUGAAGCUUCUUCAUGGAGUAAAAAAUGUAUUUAAAAGAAAAUUGAGAGAAAGGACUACAGAGCCCUGAAUUAAUACCAAUAGAAGGGCAAUGCUUUUAGAUUAAAAUGAAGGUGACUUAAACAGCUUAAAGUUUACUUUAAAAGUUGUAGGUGAUUAAAAUAAUUUGAAGGCGAUCUUUUAAAAAGAGAUUAAACCGAAGGUGAUUAAAAGACCUUGAAAUCCAUGACGCAGGGAGAAUUGCGUCAUUUAAAGCCUAGUUAACGCAUUUAAACGCAGACGAAAAUGGAAAGAUUAGUUGGGAGUGGUAGGAUGAAACGAUUUGGAGAAGAUAGAAGUUUGAAGUGGAAAACUGGAAGACAGAAGUACAGGAAGGCGGAGAAAAGAAUAGAGAAGAUAGGGAAAUUAGAAGAUAAAAACAUACUUUUAGAAGAAAAAAGAUAAAUUUAAACCUGAAAAGUAGGAAGCAGAAGAAAAAAGACAAGCUAGGAAACAAAAAACUAAGGGCAAAAUGUACAAACUUAGAAGAAAAUUGGAAGAUAGAAACAAGAUAGAAAAUGAAAAUAUUGUCAAGAGUUUCAGAUAGAAAAUGAAAAACAAGCUAAGACAAGUAUUGGAGAAGUAUAGAAGAUAGAAAAAUAUAAAGCCAAAAAUUGGAUAAAAUAGCACUGAAAAAGUGAGGAAAUUAUUGGUAACCAAUUUAUUUUAAAAGCCCAUCAAUUUAAUUUCUGGUGGUGCAGAAGUUAGAAGGUAAAGCUUGAGAAGAUGAGGGUGUUUACGUAGACCAGAACCAAUUUAGAAGAAUACUUGAAGCUAGAAGGGGAAGUUGGUUAAAAAUCACAUCAAAAAAGGACUGGUGUAAUUUAAAAAAAAACUAAGGCAGAAGGCUUUUGGAAGAGUUAGAAGAAUUUGGAAGGCCUUAAAUAUAGUAGCUUAGUUUGAAAAAUGUGAAGGACUUUCGUAACGGAAGUAAUUCAAGAUCAAGAGUAAUUACCAACUUAAUGUUUUUGCAUUGGACUUUGAGUUAAGAUUAUUUUUUAAAUCCUGAGGACUAGCAUUAAUUGACAGCUGACCCAGGUGCUACACAGAAGUGGAUUCAGUGAAUCUAGGAAGACAGCAGCAGACAGGAUUCCGGGAACCAGUGUUUGAUGAAGCUAGGACUGAGGAGCAAGCGAGCAAGCAGCAGUUCGUGGUGAAGAUAGGAAAAGAGUCCAGGAGCCAGUGCGAUUUGGUGAAGGAAGCUAGGAAGAAGGAAGGAGCGCUAACGAUUUGGUGGUGAAGCUAGGAAAAAGGAUUCCAGAAAGGAGCGAGUGCGAUUUGGUGAUGAAGCUAGCAGGCGGCUUGGCUUGGCAACCACACGGAGGAGGCGAGCAGGCGUUGUGCGUAGAUAGAGGAUCCUAGACCAGCAUGCCAGUGUGCCAAGGCCACAGGGAAAACGAGUGGUUGGUAAAAAUCCGUGAGGUCGGCAAUAUGUUGUUUUUCUGGAACUUAUGGUAACCUUUUAUUUAUUUUCUAAUAUAAUGGGGGAGUUUCGUACUGAGGUGUAAAGGGAUUUAUAUGGGGAACGUAGGCCGAUUUCCGGGUGUUGUAGGUUUCUCUUUUUCAGGCUUAUACUCAUGAAUCUUGUCUGAAGCUUUUGAGGGCAGACUGCCAAGUCCUGGAGAAAUAGUAGAUGGCAAGUUUGUGGGUUUUUUUUUUUUUUUUUUUUUUUUUUACGAAUUUGAGGAAAACCAAAUGAAUUUGAUAGCCAAAUUGAGACAAUUUCAGCAAAUCUGUAAGCAGUUUGUAUGUUUAGUUGGGGUAAAUGAAGUAUUUCAGUUUUGUGAAUAGAUGACCUGUUUUUACUUCCUCACCCUGAAUUCGUUUUGUAAAUGUAGAGUUUGGAUGUGUAACUGAGGCGGGGGGGAGUUUUCAGUAUUUUUUUUUUGUGGGGGUGGGGGCAAAAUAUGUUUUCAGUUCUUUUUCCCUUAGGUCUGUCUAGAAUCCUAAAGGCAAAUGACUCAAGGUGUAACAGAAAACAAGAAAAUCCAAUAUCAGGAUAAUCAGACCACCACAGGUUUACAGUUUAUAGAAACUAGAGCAGUUCUCACGUUGAGGUCUGUGGAAGAGAUGUCCAUUGGAGAAAUGGCUGGUAGUUACUCUUUUUUCCCCCCACCCCCUUAAUCAGACUUUAAAAGUGCUUAACCCCUUAAACUUGUUAUUUUUUACUUGAAGCAUUUUGGGAUGGUCUUAACAGGGAAGAGAGAGGGUGGGGGAGAAAAUGUUUUUUUCUAAGAUUUUCCACAGAUGCUAUAGUACUAUUGACAAACUGGGUUAGAGAAGGAGUGUACCGCUGUGCUGUUGGCACGAACACCUUCAGGGACUGGAGCUGCUUUUAUCCUUGGAAGAGUAUUUCCAGUUGAAGCUGAAAAGUACAGCACAGUGCAGCUUUGGUUCAUAUUCAGUCAUCUCAGGAGAACUUCAGAAGAGCUUGAGUAGGCCAAAUGUUGAAGUUAAGUUUUCCAAUAAUGUGACUUCUUAAAAGUUUUAUUAAAGGGGAGGGGCAAAUAUUGGCAAUUAGUUGGCAGUGGCCUGUUACGGUUGGGAUUGGUGGGGUGGGUUUAGGUAAUUGUUUAGUUUAUGAUUGCAGAUAAACUCAUGCCAGAGAACUUAAAGUCUUAGAAUGGAAAAAGUAAAGAAAUAUCAACUUCCAAGUUGAUAACAUCUUCUGAGUCAUAACCAGCCUGGCAGUAUGAUGGCCUAGAUGCAGAGAAAACAGCUCCUUGGUAUCUCUUCGUUAUCAGAAGAGUUGCUUCAUUUCAUCUGGGAGCAGAAAACAGCAGGCAGCUGUUAACAGAUAAGUUUAACUUGCAUCUGCAGUAUUGCAUGUUAGGGAUAAGUGCUUAUUUUUAAGAGGUGUGGAGUUCUUAAAUAUCAACCAUGGCACUUUCUCCUGACCCCUUCCCUAGGGGAUUUCAGGAUUGAGAAAUUUUUCCAUCGAGCCUCUUUAAAAUUGUAGGACUUGUUCCUGUGGGCUUCAAUGAUGGGAUAGUACACUUCACUCAGAGGCAUUUGCAUCUUUAAAUAAUUUCUUAAAAGCCUCUAAAGUGAUCAGUGCCUUGAUGCCAACUAAGGAAAUUUGUUUAGCAUUGAAUCUCUGAAGGCUCUAUGAAAGGAAUAGCAUGAUGUGCUGUUAGAAUCAGAUGUUAUUGCUAAAAUUUACAUGUUGUGUUGUGAUGUAAAUUGUGUAGAAAACCAUUAAAUCAUUCAAAAUAAUAAACUAUUUUUAUUAGAGAAUGUAUACUUUUAGAAAGCUGUCUCCUUAUUUAAAUACAAUACUGUUUGUCUGUAGUUUAGUGUUGGGGCAAUCUUGGGGGGGAUUCUUCUCUAAUCUUUCAGAAACUUUGUCUGCGAACACUCUUUAAUGGACCAGAUCAGGAUUUGAGCGGAAGAACGAAUGUAACUUUAAGAGGCAUUUCAUCCUUCAUGAAGCUGUUCAGGAUUUUGAAUUGCAUAUGAGUGCUUGGCUCUUCCUUCUGUUCUCCUAACUUCACAGAGAAUGCAGUUGUCUUGACUUCAGAUGCAACCUUAAAAUCAGUGACAAGAAACAAAUUCCAAACAAGCAACAGUCUUCAAGAAAUUAAACUGGCAAGUGGAAAUGUUUAAACAGUUCAGUGAUCUUUAGUGCAUUGUUUUUGUGUGGGUUUCUCUCUCCCCUCCCUUGGUCUUAAUUCUUACAUGCAGGAACACUCAGCAGACACACGUAUGCGAAGGGCCAGAGAAGCCAGACCCAGUAAGAAAAAAUAGCCUAUUUACUUUAAAUAAACCAAACAUUCCAUUUUAAAUGUGGGGAUUGGGAACCACUAGUUCUUUCAGAUGGUAUUCUUCAGACUAUAGAAGGAGCUUCCAGUUGAAUUCACCAGUGGACAAAAUGAGGAAAACAGGUGAACAAGCUUUUUCUGUAUUUACAUACAAAGUCAGAUCAGUUAUGGGACAAUAGUAUGA